Molecule: transfer-messenger RNA, 377 nt
Filed under: Pseudomonadales
Lineage: Bacteria; Pseudomonadati; Pseudomonadota; Gammaproteobacteria
Also listed under: 1 other name
Description: UBA5518 sp002396625 Standard tmRNA
Rfam family: transfer-messenger RNA
About the family: Bacterial tmRNA, also known as 10Sa RNA or SsrA, is named for its dual tRNA and mRNA-like properties. Its role is to liberate the mRNA from a stalled ribosome.
Source: RNAcentral
GGGGGCGUUUUGGAUUCGACGCCGGUUACAAAACCCGAUGUGCAUGCCGAGACGGCAACUAGUCUCGUUAAUCCAAAGUUGCAAACCUAUAGUUGCCAACGACGACAACUACGCACUCGCUGCUUAAACCCCAGUAGGGUGCCGUCUGACCGGAGCCGCGCCUGCGCGUCCGGGCUCUUCGGAGCACUCAGGCGUCAUAUCUCGCAGGAUCGCGCUGAAGUUUGUCCGGGAUGGAUGCGCUAAAAAACACCGGAAUCGCCAAUCGCACGCCCUGUCGGCCGGGCAGCGAGCGGUUAAAAAAAGUAGACCUGACUAAGCAUGUAGAGCUGAGGGCGGAGGACUGACGGACGCGGGUUCAACUCCCGCCGCCUCCACCA